Molecule: ribosomal RNA, 650 nt
Filed under: uncultured marine bacterium
Lineage: Bacteria
Description: bacterial SSU rRNA
Rfam family: Bacterial small subunit ribosomal RNA
Source: RNAcentral
AGUGGCAGACGGGUGAGUAACAUGUAGGUAUCUGCCCUUUGGCCUGGAAUAACACGAGGAAACUUGUGCUAAUACUGGAUAAGUCUUUACGGAGAAAGCUUUAUGCACCAUUGGAUGAGCCUGCACUUGAUUAGUUUGUUGGUGGGGUAAUGGCCUACCAAGACUGUGAUCAAUAGCUGAUUUGAGAGGAUGAUCAGCCACAUUGGGACUGAGACACGGCCCAAACUCCUACGGGAGGCAGCAGUGGGGAAUCUUGCACAAUGGAGGAAACUCUGAUGCAGCGAUGCCGCGUGAGUGAAGAAGGCCCUUGGGUUGUAAAGCUCUUUCGUCGGGGAAGAAAAUGACUGUACCCGAAUAAGAAGGUCCGGCUAACUUCGUGCCAGCAGCCGCGGUAAUACGAAGGGACCUAGCGUAGUUCGGAAUUACUGGGCUUAAAGAGUUCGUAGGUGGUUGAAAAAGUUAGUGGUGAAAUCCCAGAGCUUAACUCUGGAACUGCCAUUAAAACUUUUCAGCUAGAGUAUGAUAGAGGAAAGCAGAAUUUCUAGUGUAGAGGUGAAAUUCGUAGAUAUUAGAAAGAAUACCAAUUGCGAAGGCAGCUUUCUGGAUCAUUACUGACACUGAGGAACGAAAGCAUGGGUAGCGAAGAGGAU